AUAAUGAUACUUCCGUCCAGCCACAGUCUAAAGCAAUGGGGGCGGCUUUGCGAAAACCGCAUCGGGGUGAGAUUCCCAUGA
This 81-nucleotide non-coding RNA is filed under the name unclassified sequences. Its description in RNAcentral is "pemK RNA". It matches the Rfam family "pemK RNA". The record is from RNAcentral.